Molecule: ribosomal RNA, 253 nt
Filed under: uncultured bacterium
Lineage: Bacteria
Description: partial 16S ribosomal RNA
Rfam family: Bacterial small subunit ribosomal RNA
Source: RNAcentral
UACGGAGGGGGCUAGCGUUGUUCGGAAUUACUGGGCGUAAAGCGCACGUAGGCGGCUUUGCAAGUUAGAGGUGAAAGCCCGGGGCUCAACUCCGGAAUUGCCUUUAAAACUGCAUCGCUAGAAUUGUGGAGAGGUAAGUGGAACUCCGAGUGUAGAGGUGAAAUUCGUAGAUAUUCGCAAGAACACCAGUGGCGAAGGCGGCUCACUGGCCCGAUACUGACGCUGAGGCACGAAAGCGUGGGGAGCAAACAGG